Molecule: long non-coding RNA, 827 nt
Filed under: Malus domestica (apple)
Lineage: Eukaryota; Viridiplantae; Streptophyta; Magnoliopsida; Rosales; Rosaceae
Description: long non-coding RNA (MDOM_LNC007891)
Source: RNAcentral
AAAGCAAACCAAAACCCUUACUGUCUGAGAGAAAUUGGGAUAGAACAUCGUAGAGAGAAAGCAAGAAGAGAGAUAUACCUGACUCUGGUUUAAGCGUCGAACGAACUCUUUCUCUCUCUCUGCAAACAAUUUUAACUGAAAAAAAAAUCCAAAUUAUGAGCACCGAUUAUCAAUCAAAUACCAAAAUGAAGUGUAAAUCACAAACUCAAUUCUCAAUAAUCAAUUCCUUGAUUCGGAUACAAAAUUUUCAUCAUUCUCUUAUCUGUUUUCCUUUGUUUUGUGAGUUUUAACCUCAAAUGGGAUUACACAAAAAACAUAACCUUCUCAGAAAACUGCAGCCAUUUUUACAAAUUUCCGUGAGCCAACACAGGAAAAUGAAAAUGACAAAGCCACAUAGUAGGAGGCAGACAAAAGAAAUCAAAGAACCGAACACUCUCUUCAUUAGCAAAAGCGUUUGAGAAAUCAAACGAAAAUAAGCCAAAUACCCCUCUUCCUCAAAUCCCGAUGGCCCCCAUGCUUUUCUCUGACUGUACCCCCUCUCCCACUCAUGAAAUCGAGGAUCUGCAGCAAUGGCGCUGAGAUCCCCACUCCUCUCUCUCUCUCUUUCUCUCUCUCUCUCUCUCUCUCUCUCAGAUGCGGCAUGGCCUCCCAUCCCCGAAACCCUCACUGAACGAAGAACGAAGAGGUGGGGGCAAUUUUGUACAAAUCAGAUCAGGAAACACUAUGCACAGUAUAUGCACCAAAUACCUAGUAAUGAGAUAUUUAGCAUGUGAUAUCUUUCGAACCACACAAUAUAUGCACCACAUCCCCAUCCUAUUCAAUUCGAU